This 1110-nucleotide long non-coding RNA is filed under the name Oryza sativa (Asian cultivated rice). Its description in RNAcentral is "long non-coding RNA (OSAT_LNC000598)". Lineage: Eukaryota; Viridiplantae; Streptophyta; Magnoliopsida; Poales; Poaceae. The record is from RNAcentral.
CGGCGUCGACACCGGUGCCGCCGGCAGGAUCACGUGCUCCCUGCAGUCCGACAUCCGGGAGGUCGCCAACAAGUGCGCCGAUGCCGCCAAGCUCGCCGGCUUCGCCCUCGCCACCUCAGCUCUGCUCGUCUCGGUAAGACCUUAAUUAGGAUUUAGGAGUAUGUUGCAUGGCGCCAUGGCCAAGGCCAAGGUGGAAACGAUCGAAUUACUAUAUAUGUAACGCCGUGCAUGUGGUGGCCGGCCGGUGUAGGGCGCCAGCGCGGAGGGCGUGCCGAGGAGGCUUACCUUCGACGAGAUUCAGAGUAAGACGUACAUGGAGGUGAAGGGAACCGGCACGGCGAACCAGUGCCCGACGGUGGAGGGCGGCGUCGACUCCUUCGCCUUCAAGGCCGGCAAGUACAACAUGAAGAAGUUCUGCCUGGAGCCGACGUCCUUCACCGUUAAGGCGGAGGGCGUGGCCAAGAACGCGCCACCCGAGUUCCAGAAGACCAAGCUCAUGACCCGCCUGACCUACACCCUCGACGAGAUCGAGGGCCCGCUCGAGGUCAGCUCCGACGGAACCAUCAAGUUCGAGGAGAAGGACGGAAUCGACUACGCCGCCGUCACCGUGCAGCUGCCGGGAGGCGAGCGCGUGCCGUUCCUCUUCACCAUCAAGAAUCUGGUCGCCACCGGCAAGCCGGAGAGCUUCGGCGGGCCCUUCCUCGUGCCCAGCUACCGUGGUUCGUCCUUCCUCGACCCAAAGGGCCGCGGUGGCUCUACCGGCUACGACAACGCUGUGGCGCUCCCCGCCGGAGGCAGAGGAGACGAGGAGGAGCUCGCUAAGGAGAACGUCAAGAACGCCUCGUCGUCGACGGGCAACAUCACGUUGAGCGUCACCAAGAGCAAGCCAGAGACCGGCGAGGUGAUUGGCGUCUUCGAGAGCGUGCAGCCGUCGGACACAGACCUCGGCGCCAAGGUGCCCAAGGAUGUCAAGAUCCAAGGGGUGUGGUACGCGCAGCUCGAGUAGGGAAUGAACAAAUGUUUUGUGCGUGGCCGGGUUGAUAUAUCGAUACAUGGAGAGAGGGAAGGAAGGCUGCAAUGUGUGUAUCUAGUAAUGCAAACUCGAUCGGG